UUGGGUUUGCUUUGCGCAGAAUAGGUGGGAGGCUAAGAUAAUAUAUUUGAGGAUGUAUAGGAGCUAUCAGUGUGAUACCACUCUAAGUAAACUAGACUUCUAACCUUGAAAGCCGUUAACCGGCCAAGGAACAGUUUCAGGCGGGCAGUUUGACUGGGGCGGUCGCCUCCUAAAAGGUAACGGAGGCGUACAAAGGUUUUCUCAGGCUGGUCAGAAAUCAGUUUUAGAGUAUAAAGGCAUAAGAAAGCUUGACUGCAAGACCUACAAGUCGAGCAGAGACGAAAGUCGGUCUUAGUGAUCCGACAGUUCUGAGUGGAAAGGCUGUC
This 326-nucleotide ribosomal RNA is filed under the name Betaphycus gelatinus. Its description in RNAcentral is "bacterial LSU rRNA". It matches the Rfam family "Bacterial large subunit ribosomal RNA", at positions 2123 to 2446 of the family's 2925-position model. The record is from RNAcentral. Lineage: Eukaryota; Rhodophyta; Florideophyceae; Gigartinales; Solieriaceae.